Molecule: ribosomal RNA, 497 nt
Filed under: uncultured bacterium
Lineage: Bacteria
Description: partial 16S ribosomal RNA
Rfam family: Bacterial small subunit ribosomal RNA
Source: RNAcentral
GAUGAACGCUGGCGGCGUGCCUAAUACAUGCAAGUCGAGCGAACGGACGAGAAGCUUGCUUCUCUGAUGUUAGCGGCGGAAGGGUGUGUAACACGUGGAUAACCUACCUAUAAGACUGGGAUAACUCCGGGAAAAAGUAGCUAAUAUCGGAUAAUAUUUUGAACCGCAUGGUUCAAAAGUGAAAGACGGUCUUGCUGUCACUUAUAGAUGGAACCGCGCUGCAUUAGCUAGUUGGUAAGGUAACGGCUUACCAAGGCAUCGAUGCAUAGCCGACCUGAGAGAGGGAUCGACCACACUGGAACUGAGACACGGCCCAGACUCCUACGGGAGGCGGCAGUAGGAAAUCUUCCGCAAUGGGCGAAAGCCUGACGGGGCAACGCCGCGUGAGUGAUGAAGGUCUUCGGAUCGUAAAACUCUGUUAUUAGGAAGAAACAUAUGUGUAAGUAACUGUACAAAUCUUGACGGUACCUAAUCAGAAAGCCACGGCUAACUACGUG